GGACGAGAACAAUCUCGGGAAACUGAGGCUAAUUCUCGAUAGAUCAAGAUUCCUGGAAUGGGUUUUGGUCCAAAGGCGACGACGGCAUCUUGUCGUUAUCGCCCAAGGAUGGGACUGCGGCCGAUCAGGCUGUUGGUGGGGUAAAGGCCCACCAAACCAGUAACCGGUACGGGCUUUGAGAGAAGGAGCCCGGAGAUGGACACUGAGACAAGGGUCCAGGUCCUACGGGGCGCAGCAGGCGCGAAACCUUCGCAAUGCGCGCAAGCGCGACGAGGUUAUUCCGAGUGAUUUCCGCUGAGGAAAUCUUUUCUCAGAUCUAAAUAGUCUGGGGAAUAAGGGGAGGGCAAGUCUGGUGUCAGCCGCCGCGGUAAUACCAGCUCCUCGAGUGGUCAGGGCGUUUAUUGGGCCUAAAGCAUCCGUAGCCGGCUCAGUUGGUCUCCUGUUAAAUCCAACGGCUUAACCGUUGGUCUGCAGGAGAUACCGCUGGGCUAGGAGGCGGGAGAGGCGGACGGUACUCCGAGGGUAGGGGUAAAAUCCUUUGAUCCCCGGAAGACCACCAGUGGCGAAGGCGGUCCGCCAGAACGCGCUCGACGGUGAGGGAUGAAAGCUGGGGGAGCGAACCGAAUUAGAUACCCGGGUAGUCCCAGCUGUAAACGAUGCGAGCUAGGUGACACGACGCCUUCGGGGCAUCGUGGUGCCGCAGGGAAGCCGUUAAGCUCGCCGCCUGGGGAGUACGGA
Molecule: ribosomal RNA, 738 nt
Filed under: uncultured archaeon
Lineage: Archaea
Description: bacterial SSU rRNA
Rfam family: Archaeal small subunit ribosomal RNA
Source: RNAcentral